UCUGAAUGGGGAAACCCACCGGUCUUCGGACCGGUACCGUACGGUGAAUACAUAGCCGUACGGGGCGAACUCGGGGAACUGAAACAUCUAAGUACCCGAAGGAAAGGACAUCAAUUGAGACUUCCUUAGUAGUGGCGAGCGAACGGGAACCAGGCCAGUGGCUUUAGUGAGACAACCGGAACCGUUUGGAAAGACGGGCCAUAGUGGGUGACAGCCCCGUACGGGUAAUUCGAACUUUAGUCCUCGAGUAGGGCGGGACACGUGAAAUCCUGUCUGAACAUGGGGGGACCACCCUCCAAGCCUAAAUACUCGUAUGUGACCGAUAGCGAACCAGUACCGUGAGGGAAAGGUGAAAAGCACCCCGACGAGGGGAGUGAAACAGACCCUGAAACCGGACGCCUACAAGCAGUCGGAGCCGCCUUGCGCGGUGACGGCGUACCUUUUGUAUAAUGGGUCAGCGACUUUGUCUCUCGAGCAAGCUUAAGCCGGUAGGUGUAGGCGCAGCGAAAGCGAGUCUGAACAGGGCGACGAGUUCGAGGGAUAAGACCCGAAACCGAGUGAUCUAGCCAUGUGCAGGUUG
Molecule: ribosomal RNA, 580 nt
Filed under: Kryptoperidinium foliaceum
Lineage: Eukaryota; Dinophyceae; Peridiniales; Kryptoperidiniaceae
Description: partial Bacterial large subunit ribosomal RNA
Rfam family: Bacterial large subunit ribosomal RNA
Source: RNAcentral